CAGAGCCCUCUUUGUCUUUGUCUGUCUCUUCCUCCCUAUAACUCCUCUGUCAAACUCCUGUUAGCUCUUCCUGUCUGCUCACUCUGUUCCUUUGCUCUCUGAAAGCUGGCUCGCUUGUAUCUCAUCUAGACCAGCUGACACAGCGCUCCCUGCUCUGCUCAGACCCAAGGCACAUUACAACAAUGAAGAAGAAGAAGAAGAAGAAGAAGAAGAAGAAGAAAGGAACAUAGGGAGCUGCCUAAUUGCCAGAGUAAAGAGGUGCAUCUUCAGCAUACAACAAAAACAACAUAAUGAAGGUACCAGACACACAUCUGAGGAGAGGAAAUUCUACAGAUAAUGGGCUCCCAUAGAGAAUAACCUAUCAUGGGUCACUCCCCUCAACUUCUGAAGGUGUUGGAACUGCACCUGAGAGGGUCUGUAUGGAAGGAGGUGGCCCAAGUAAUGAACUUGCAACCAGUCAGUUGUGGCUGGUAGCUCCAUGUCAGUAGGGUAGUGGAAUCCUGCUCCAGAUUUUAGUCUGAACUUUCAAGGAGCUG
Rhineura floridana is the source of this 536-nucleotide long non-coding RNA. RefSeq lists it as uncharacterized. The transcript has 3 exons. NCBI's taxonomy places the organism in Eukaryota, Metazoa, Chordata, Lepidosauria, Squamata, Rhineuridae. The record is from RefSeq and is a predicted model, not a curated record.